AACCAGGUGAUCUAUCCAUGGCCAGGAUGAAGGUCGGUAACACGUACUGGAGGUCCGAACCACUAACGUUGAAAAGUUAGGGGAUGAGCUGUGGAUAGGGGUGAAAGGCUAAACAAACCUGGAAAUAGCUGGUUCUCUCCGAAAACUAUUUAGGUAGUGCCUCGUGUAUCACCUUCGGGGGUAGAGCACUGUCAUGGUUGUGGGGUCCAUUGCGGAUUACUACGCCAUAGCAAACUCCGAAUACCGAAGAGUGCAAUCACGGGAGACAGACAUCGGGUGCUAACGUCCGGUGUCAAGAGGGAAACAACCCAGACCGCCAGCUAAGGUCCCCAAAUAUUGCUAAGUGGGAAACGAAGUGGGAAGGCUAAAACAGUCAGGAGGUUGGCUUAGAAGCAGCCAUCCUUUAAAGAAAGCGUAAUAGCUCACUGAUCGAGUCGUCCUGCGCGGAAGAUGUAACGGGGCUAAGCAAUAUACCGAAGCUGCGGAUGCACAUUGAUGUGCAUGGUAGGAGAGCGUUCCGUAAGCCUGCGAAGGUGCACUGAAAAGUGCGCUGGAGGUAUCGGAAGUGCGAAUGCUGACAUGAGUAGCGAUAAAGGGGGUGAAAGGCCCCCUCGCCGUAAGCCCAAGGUUUCCUACGCAACGUUCAUCGGCGUAGGGUGAGUCGGCCCCUAAGGCGAGGCAGAAAUGCGUAGCUGAUGGGAAGCAGGUUAAUAUUCCUGCACCAUUGUUAAAUGCGAUGGGGGGACGGAUCGCGGAAGGUUGUCCGGGUGUUGGAAGUCCCGGUCCUUGCAUUGGAGAAGGCGCUUAGGCAAAUCCGGGCGCGCAAUUCAAGGGUGCGAGGCCAUUCACUUAGGUGAAGAAGCAAUCGGAAGUGGUUCCAAGAAAAGCCUCUAAGCUUCAGUUUAACAAGACCGUACCGCAAACCGACACAGGUGGGCGAGAUGAGUAUUCUAAGGCGCUUGAGAGAACUCGGGAGAAGGAACUCGGCAAAUUGGUACCGUAACUUCGGGAUAAGGUACGCCCCUGUAGCCUGACUCGCCUGCGCGAGAAGGGUGAAGGGGUUGCAAUAAACUGGUGGCUGCGACUGUUUAAUAAAAACACAGCACUCUGCAAACACGAAAGUGGACGUAUAGGGUGUGACGCCUGCCCGGUGCCGGAAGAUUAAAUGAUGGGGUGCAAGCUCUUGAUUGAAGUCCCGGUAAACGGCGGCCGUAACUAUAACGGUCCUAAGGUAGCGAAAUUCCUUGUCGGGUAAGUUCCGACCUGCACGAAUGGCGUAACGAUGGCCACACUGUCUCCUCCCGAGACUCAGCGAAGUUGAAGUGUUUGUGAUGAUGCAAUCUCCCCGCGGCUAGACGGAAAGACCCCAUGAACCUUUACUGUAGCUUUGCAUUGGACUUUGAACCGAUCUGUGUAGGAUAGGUGGGAGGCUAUGAAGCGUGAACGCCAGUUUGCGUGGAGCCGUCCUUGAAAUACCACCCUGGUUUGUUUGAGGUUCUAACCUUGGCCCGUGAUCCGGGUCGGGGACAGUGCAUGGUAGGCAGUUUGACUGGGGCGGUCUCCUCCCAAAGUGUAACGGAGGAGUACGAAGGUACGCUAGGUACGGUCGGAAAUCGUGCUGAUAGUGCAAUGGCAUAAGCGUGCUUAACUGCGAGACCGACAAGUCGAGCAGGUGCGAAAGCAGGUCAUAGUGAUCCGGUGGUUCUGUAUGGAAGGGCCAUCGCUCAACGGAUAAAAGGUACUCUGGGGAUAACAGGCUGAUACCGCCCAAGAGUUCAUAUCGACGGCGGUGUUUGGCACCUCGAUGUCGGCUCAUCUCAUCCUGGGGCUGUAGCCGGUCCCAAGGGUAUGGCUGUUCGCCAUUUAAAGAGGUACGUGAGCUGGGUUUAAAACGUCGUGAGACAGUUUGGUCCCUAUCUGCCGUGGGCGCUGGAUAUUUGAAGGGGGCUGCUCCUAGUACGAGAGGACCGGAGUGGACGAACCUCUGGUGUACCGGUUGUCACGCCAGUGGCAUCGCCGGGUAGCUAUGUUCGGAAGAGAUAACCGCUGAAAGCAUCUAAGCGGGAAACUCGCCUUAAGAUGAGAUAUCCCCGGGGCUUCGAGCCCCUUGAAGGGUCGUUCAAGACCAGGACGUUGAUAGGUCAGGUGUGGAAGCGCAGUAAUGCGUUAAGCUAACUGAUACUAAUUGCCCGUAAGGCUUGAUCCUA
Molecule: ribosomal RNA, 2207 nt
Filed under: Paraburkholderia sp. BL23I1N1
Lineage: Bacteria; Pseudomonadati; Pseudomonadota; Betaproteobacteria; Burkholderiales; Burkholderiaceae
Description: partial 23S ribosomal RNA
Rfam family: Bacterial large subunit ribosomal RNA
Source: RNAcentral